CGAGAGAGCGUCAGCGAGAGAGCGUCAGCGAGAGAGCGUCAGCGAGAGAGCGUUGCCGCAGGCAACGACCCGUAGGGCGAAGCGCGCAGCGCUGAGUAAUCCUUCCCCCACCACCA
RNAcentral lists this small RNA (116 nucleotides) under Escherichia coli. RNAcentral's name for it is "RtT RNA". It matches the Rfam family "RtT RNA", at positions 49 to 130 of the family's 130-position model. Rfam says of the family: This family represents a bacterial cis-regulatory element known as RtT RNA. The exact function of RtT is unknown although it is thought that it may be involved in changing the cellular response in relation to amino acid starvation. Lineage: Bacteria; Pseudomonadati; Pseudomonadota; Gammaproteobacteria; Enterobacterales; Enterobacteriaceae. The record is from RNAcentral.